This 274-nucleotide ribosomal RNA is filed under the name uncultured bacterium. RNAcentral's name for it is "partial 16S ribosomal RNA". It matches the Rfam family "Bacterial small subunit ribosomal RNA", at positions 523 to 796 of the family's 1533-position model. The record is from RNAcentral.
AUACGUAGGGUGCGAGCGUUAAUCGGAAUUACUGGGCGUAAAGCGUGCGCAGGCGGUUUUGUAAGUCAGAUGUGAAAUCCCCGGGCUUAACCUGGGAACUGCGUUUGAAACUGCAAGGCUAGAGUGUGGCAGAGGGGGGUGGAAUUCCGCGUGUAGCAGUGAAAUGCGUAGAGAUGUGGAGGAACACCGAUGGCGAAGGCAGCCCCCUGGGUCAGCACUGACGCUCAGGCACGAAAGCAUGGGGAGCAAACAGGAUUAGAUACCCCAGUAGUCC